AUUUAGGUAUAGCGUCGAGAGAUCACUUGCGGAGGUAGAGCACUGGAUGGGCUAGGGCCCUUACCGGGGUACCAAACCUAACCAAACUCCGAAUGCCGCAACAUGUAUCUCGGCAGUCAGACUGUGGGUGAUAAGGUCCAUAGUCGAGAGGGUAACAACCCAGACCGCCAGCUAAGGUCCCCAAAUUCGCACUAAGUGGUAAAGGAUGUGGAGGGACAUAGACAACCAGGAGGUUGGCUUAGAAGCAGCCACCCUUUAAAGAAAGCGUAACAGCUCACUGGUCAAGUCAAUCCGCGCCGAAAAUGUAACGGGGCUCAAGUGCGAUACCGAAGCUGCGGAUCCGUCGCGAGUUCGCUCGUGAUGAGAUGGUAGGGGGAGCAUUCCAGUCGCCUGUGAAGGCAGAUCGACAAGAACUGCUGGAGGUCCUGGAAGAGCUUAUGCAGACACGAGUAACGAUAAAAAUGGGCGAGAAACCCAUUCGCCGUAAGUCUAAGGUUUCCUGGGUUAAGGUAAUCUUCUCAGGGUUAGUC
Molecule: ribosomal RNA, 530 nt
Filed under: uncultured bacterium
Lineage: Bacteria
Description: bacterial LSU rRNA
Rfam family: Bacterial large subunit ribosomal RNA
Source: RNAcentral